Molecule: long non-coding RNA, 5620 nt
Filed under: Sorghum bicolor (sorghum)
Lineage: Eukaryota; Viridiplantae; Streptophyta; Magnoliopsida; Poales; Poaceae
Description: long non-coding RNA (SBIC_LNC010241)
Source: RNAcentral
GGGCCGAAGAACGACUGGAGGAGCUCGCGGCGCGCGGCAACGUGCUCGGCUUGCGGCGAGAUCCCGACGAGGCGGCUGCUGCACCUAGGGCACGUUUUUGCGUCGCGGUUGGAAGGGAACGGAGUGCGGCCGAGGCUUGAGACAUUUAUAGGGCUCGGAAAGGCAAGAUAUCCCGGGACUUUCGGGAUUGAAACGGCCGGAUCGGUGAGUUCGUCUCAGUUACGAACCGGGAAGAAGGCCAGGGCGCUGACACGCGGGGUCCGGGCGUCAGGGAGAGAGAAGGGAGAGGUUUUUUUUUCCUUUUCUUUUCUUUUGUUUUCUUAUUAUUCCAAAGCUAUUUUCACAUCAUUUCAAAACAUUUUGAAUUAUUUUAAAAUUUUGAGUUCAAAUACACUCAUCACAAUAAAUAGAAUGCAAAGGCAUGCAUGCUCAAGCAUGUUUUCUACGUCCUAUGAUGAAUUUUAGUUUAAUGAAAAAUAUUAUUUUCCUAUGUUUCAUGAGCACAAAAAUUCAUAAUUAAAUCAUUUUAGCUCUAUUUCCCAGAAAACAAUUUUUAGGGUGUUACAAAUCUACCCCCCUUAAGAUGAAUCUCGUCCUCGAGAUUCGGAAGAUGGUGAUCAAAGAGAUGUAGAUACUCCGCUUUUGAACCUUGUUCACUUCCUUGAGUAGCUCUUUCUUAGUAACCAUUCUAUGGCCUUUGUCACUCCGAACAUCUCCAUCAAUGGUUCCCAAGAGUUCAGCAAUGUAAUUUGUAUAGAUAAGGUUUUUUUUUUUACUCAUAGCUUAUCUGGGGUAUAUGUUCCUUGCCCAUCCAUUUAAAACCUGAUGCAUUUCCAACCAUGAUAUACUCAACUUUCUCCUUAUUACUUUCAUCGUCCCAUUUCACAAUCAUCCUUCUCCUUCUUCCAAAGUGAGCCCUAUUAAUUUCCAAAUUUGUAGUGUUAGUAAUAUCACUCAACCUCCGCACACAAAUCCUCAAAUCUAGGUGUUGUCCAAACUUUUCCUAGCACACUCUUUAUGAUAAGAGCUUUGGCAUCGACCUAUACUUCUCCAUAAUCCCACCACUAGAGACAACAUAUUCAAUUUAGAGAACUUAGUUCACUCAAAACUUACUAGCCAUGCAUGGUGAAAUAAUAAGGUUUCAUAACUCUCUGAAGAAUCAUCCGUAGAUGUUCGAUAUCUCUUUCCAAUAUCAUUAAUGUCAUCUUGUCUUGGGCAUGUUGGAAGUUGAACCUCCAUUUGAUAAUAGCUCAAUGUGGAGACCAAUCUUGACGAAUACCUGAACUCAUUGGUGCAAAGAGUAACCACUCUUGAGCAAAGAUAUUUGUGGUUGAUAGGGAGUUGUCCACCAAAGGAAUAACAGAUCUUCCAAAUAAAAUACUUGAACACAUAAAACCUUUGUCUUGCAACUUCUAUAGCUUGGCUACCCCCCUUAAGAUGAGAUCAGCUAGGGGAUACCAAGGAUGGCUUGAACAUUCUUAUGAGUAGGUUAACUACCAUAAAAGAGCUUCUUAUAUCCAAGAGAACUCAUAUACAUAGACAAGAACAAGAAAUCAAAAAUUCCUCGCAAGAUGAAAAACAGCAACUUAGUAAACCAGCUACAACUAAUGUUCCGUCAACCUGAUAGAGUUAUGGUCUACACUGAUGGAAAGCUUAUCAAAUUCUCCACAACUUUCUUGUUGAUCACUUCCCCAUAUUCGGGCGUUAAAAUAAGGUUUGAUAAUCCAACAUAAAAUCUGUCCAGGAAGUCUGACAACACAGACACAGCAUCUUGAAACAGUCAUAUCAUGAGCCAUAGAAACCAUAUAAUGACGAUCCUUACAAUGUUGAAAAGCUUAUGAAAUCCUCUGAAACUUUUGUAUACAACUUUUUCCCAGAUUAUGAAGUUAAUUUGGCUGAAAUUAGGAAAUACUAGGACUGUCCAGACUUUGAAAUAGAACAGAAACAUCCAAUUUCAUCUGUCAUAUCUCAGGUUCUACUUAUCCAAAUAAGUUCUAGCUUACACCGUUGGAAAGCUUAGAAAAUUGUCUACAACUCUUCUAUAGAACACUUUUCCAAAUUCUAUAGUUAUAUUUGUCUAGAACAGUAGGCAACCGAACUGAUCCAGAUUCCUGACAGCACAUAUGUAUCAUCUUGUGAUUUUUGUAACUUCCAAACCAUAAUAGAUAUGAGGGUGAUCCUUGCGGUCAGAGAAAUAUCUUGAAGUCUAGUUGUUCCCAGAAAAAUUUGAUAGACGUUGCAUGAUCAGAACUUGAGAUACACCAGAAUUAUUGCAGUCUGCUUCAGAAAACAGCAAAGGAUAGAAACAGGAUAUAACCAAACCCAACUACUUAUUUCACUACUCCUUAUGCCUUAGGCCUAUAAACUAAAUGAUAUCGUGGAGAAAACCCACAAGAUCAUUGCACUCAUUACAAAGAUCCAAAUCAAUCAUAAGCAUAAUAACAAACCAAACCAAGCAUCAAAGGUUCACACUUCAAGCAUUAACUCAACUUGCGGUACUAUCGUUCUCUUCCUAUUAAGGGCAAAGAUCCUAAAACUUAUAUUUCAAGGACACAAGAAGGUGGUAAGAAAAGGUUCUAAUAGCAUACCAAAUCAAGGAGUGAAGGUGAGAGCAAGUACUCUUAAAAUAAGCAACAAGGUAGAGAAAUAGCAAGAAUAGGGAUAUAGUAUGGAUGAAAAUAUCAAGGUUUAUAGAGCAAGGAUUUUAUGACAAUUCCAAAACCUUAAGAUGACCAAUUUCUAACUAGGCUUGCGUCCUACAGUCAGCAUUGCUUUGAUACCACUUUGUAAUACCCGAUUUUAAGGACAAAACCAGAUAUGCACCAUAUGUGAAUUUUAGAAGUCAAAUCUCACAUAGAGCUACAAAUAAGGGGUAAUAUCAAAAGACAAUGCAUAAAUAUAUAACGUACUUAAUAUAAAAGGAAUAACCUUCAGUAUCAAACAGCGGAUAGACAACUCCAAACUUCGGGUAUUAACUCCUCUCCACAGGAUCAAACUGACUGGUUGAUCACAAGCCCAAAACUUCUCCUGAGGUGUGGGGGAAAUUGCAAGAGUGAGCACAUAUCGUACUCAACAAGUAUAACCAGGAGUUCAUGAGGCUCAAUUAGCUGACACUGGUUUGACUGCAUUUAGCUUUUAUAUGUAGAUAGCAUAUUUAAUUAUUGGAUAGCAAAUAUCAAGGUAGCAUAUUAAAUCCCAUAACCACAUGAUCAAUUGUAUACAGGAAUUAUGAAUAACACAUAUAAACAACAUAAUAAACCAUCUUUUAUCAUCAUUAAUCAUGUUCAUCAGUGUCCAUCUAUUCCGUCAGUUUUCCGGGCCGCCCGUAUCCGUGGGCACGGCUAGUAUACCAGAUUUAACACUCUGCAGAGGUUGUACAUCUUUACCCAUGAGUCAUGAUUUACCCUUUCGCCCGAGGUAGCUAAUCUCUUAACCCCCUUCCUAGGGAGGUCGGCAGGGAUCACUAUGAAGCCUUUCAAAAGUUCGUCUAACAAGUUAGGGCCGCAAGGUUUCCUUUGCGCGCAGAUAUAGAGCCCCCCUUCCGAUGGCACAAUGACUCGCAGCCUAUACUCAUACAGACAGAGGCCACACUAUACCCAAAACGGUUCAGCCCCUCCGCCCUUUCGGGUAACCUCUAACCAGCUAGAAAAGUGCUUCAUACUGAGCUAAAGCCAGAGCCAUUAUAGCCCUCAUGGUUGCACUGUUGUCCCGGUGAUCACUUACAGACAAGAUCUCAUAUAGUUAUUUGUCAUUCUUUUAUGUUCAUUGCAUAGCUAUUAAUCAUCUUACAAGAUCAUGGAUUAUAUCAAGCACUAGCACAUCUACACCAAAUGCAUAUCAAGUAGGUAGCAAGGAAUCCAGGUAACAAUCAUCUAUGAUUUUGCUAAGGUCGACAAGGUGAUAGCAUGCAUAUGACAUAUAUGUGUAGUUAUAAGUGAAUAGGUAACAAGGAUGAUCCCAAGUUAUACUUGCCUUGAUCAAAGCUCUCCUGAGCCUGCUGGUCUUUAAAAGCUUGGUCUUGAUCAACAACGCACGGCUCACCGUCUAUUCCCAAACAUCAAUCAACAGCACGCAAACAAUCGGAGACAAACAUACACGAAGCAAACAAGCUAUAAUUAGAACAAUACACCAAACAGUAGUAAAACAAAUAUAAAAGUUUAUCAAAAUAUUCUACGCAGCGCUACGAUCACAUAAACGUAAAGUUCACGAAAAUCGGAAUUAAAACGGAGAAGUUAUGAGUUUUCUACGAUUUCCUAUAGAGAAAUAAUUAAUUAAAUAGUACCAGGAAAUUAAAAAGUUUCAAAACAGUAAAAUAAUACUUCUAACAUGUAGAGCUCGUAAAUACGAAUCCAACGGAAUUUGAAUGGACAAAAACGGAGUUAAAAUGAGUAUUUUAUGAGCAAACUAAAUCCAAUGGCAAUUCUGUAAUUUCUAGAAAACGUAUUUUACUCAAGCGGUUACGAAAUACGCUUUCGGAGUUGAGUAACGGAAUCGUCUCAGGGCGCCAAGGACUGCGGAGCAAAUAUGAAAAAGUUCAAAGACUCUUUAUAUAGUUUCGCAGCUGAAGGGGUAACUUCUAUUUCUGGCCCUUGAUCUUGGAUCUAACGGCUGGUGUUCCAUCCAGGGCCAAGCCUGGCCGGCCGACCGGAGCUCAGCACGGUGGCGCCAUGGCCACCAUUCGAAAGCUCGCCGGCGUUCGCGGGUUUCUCGUUUCCGAGCACCGUUUCAAGAAAGAAAAACACCAUCGGAACGAGGAGCUCACCGCGAACUCGAGGAGGUGCUUUGUUGGGGCCGAAGAACGACUGGAGGAGCUCGCGGCGCGCGGCAACGUGCUCGGCUUGCGGCGAGAUCCCGACGAGGCGGCUGCUGCACCUAGGGCACGUUUUUGCGUCGCGGUUGGAAGGGAACGGAGUGCGGCCGAGGCUUGAGACAUUUAUAGGGCUCGGAAAGGCAAGAUAUCCCGGGACUUUCGGGAUUGAAACGGCCGGAUCGGUGAGUUCGUCUCAGUUACGAACCGGGAAGAAGGCCAGGGCGCUGACACGCGGGGUCCGGGCGUCAGGGAGAGAGAAGGGAGAGGGUUUUUUUUCCUUUUCUUUUCUUUUGUUUUCUUAUUAUUCCAAAGCUAUUUUCACAUCAUUUCAAAACAUUUUGAAUUAUUUUAAAAUUUUGAGUUCAAAUACACUCAUCACAAUAAAUAGAAUGCAAAGGCAUGCAUGCUCAAGCAUGUUUUCUACGUCCUAUGAUGAAUUUUAGUUUAAUGAAAAAUAUUAUUUUCCUAUGUUUUAUGAGCACAAAAAUUCAUAAUUAAAUCAUUUUAGCUCUAUUUCCUAGAAAACAAUUUUUAGGGUGUUACAUAAACUCUGUAGAUCUUGAGAAGUUAUGGAAUUUUGUAUUUGGUAACUUUUUUAUUUGAGUUCAUCUUGUCAUGCAAAACCGCGUUUUUGAUUUAAAAUUUAAAAUUUUGAUUUUUUUUAAACAACCUCGGAUGGAAAACUCUCUAAAUAAACUUUGUAGAUCUCAAAAAGUCAUGAAACUUUGUAGUUGAUAACUUUUUGUUUUAAAAUCAUCUUGUCAUGCAAAAACUACAUUUGAUUUUCUUAAAUUUGAAAAUUCUUUGGCG